AGCAGCCGCGGUAAUUCCAGCUCCAAUAGCGUAUAUUUAAGUUGUUGCAGUUAAAAAAGCUCGUAGUUGAAUUUCGGGAUCAGUACGCUGGUCAUGCCUUUGGUAUGCACUGGUGUCACUGGUUUCUCCCUUCUGAAGAACCGUGAUGUCAUUAAUUUGGUGUCGCGGGGAAUCAGGACUGUUACUUUGAAAAAAUUGAGUGUUUAAAGCAGGCUCGCGCUUGAAUACAUUAGCAUGGAAUAAUGAAAUAGGACGUUUGACCCUAUUUUGUUGGUUUCUAGGAUCGACGUAAUGAUUAAUAGGGAUAGUUGGGGGCAUUAGUAUUCAAUUGUCAGAGGUGAAAUUCUUGGAUUUAUUGAAGACUAACUACUGCGAAAGCAUUUGCCAAGGAUGUUUUCAUUAAUCAAGAACGAAAGUUAGGGAUCGAAGACGAUCAGAUACCGUCGUAGUCUUAACCAUAAACUAUGCCGACUAGGGAUCGGACGAUGUUAAUUUUUUAAUGUACUCGUUCGGCGUACCG
This 520-nucleotide ribosomal RNA is filed under the name uncultured Glomus. RNAcentral describes it as "SSU rRNA". It matches the Rfam family "Eukaryotic small subunit ribosomal RNA", at positions 569 to 1088 of the family's 1831-position model. Lineage: Eukaryota; Fungi; Glomeromycota; Glomeromycetes; Glomerales; Glomeraceae. The record is from RNAcentral.